Molecule: ribosomal RNA, 507 nt
Filed under: uncultured bacterium
Lineage: Bacteria
Description: partial 16S ribosomal RNA
Rfam family: Bacterial small subunit ribosomal RNA
Source: RNAcentral
ACGAACGCUGGCGGCGUGCCUAAUACCUGCAAGUCGAACGCUUCUUUCCUCCCGAGUGCUUGCACUCAAUUGGAAAGAGGAGUGGCGGACGGGUGAGUAACACGUGGGUAACCUACCCAUCAGAGGGGGAUAACACUUGGAAACAGGUGCUAAUACCGCAUAACAGUUUAUGCCGCAUGGCAUAAGAGUGAAAGGCGCUUUCGGGUGUCGCUGAUGGAUGGACCCGCGGUGCAUUAGCUAGUUGGUGAGGUAACGGCUCACCAAGGCCACGAUGCAUAGCCGACCUGAGAGGGUGAUCGGCCACACUGGGACUGAGACACGGCCCAGACUCCUACGGGGGGCAGCAGUAGGGAAUCUUCGGCAAUGGACGAAAGUCUGACCGAGCAACGCCGCGUGAGUGAAGAAGGUUUUCGGAUCGUAAAACUCUGUUGUUAGAGAAGAACAAGGACGUUAGUAACUGAACGUCCCCUGACGGUAUCUAACCAGAAAGACACGGCUAACUACGUG